This 253-nucleotide ribosomal RNA is filed under the name uncultured bacterium. Its description in RNAcentral is "partial 16S ribosomal RNA". It matches the Rfam family "Bacterial small subunit ribosomal RNA", at positions 524 to 776 of the family's 1533-position model. The record is from RNAcentral.
GACGUGGGAUGCAAGUGUUAUCCGGAAUCAUUGGGCGUAAAGCGUCUGUAGGUGGUUUCUUAAGUCCACUGUUAAACCUUGAGGCUCAACCUCAAAUCUGCAUUGGAAACUAGGAGACUUGAGUAUAGUAGGGGUUGAGGGAAUUUCCAGUGGAGCGGUGAAAUGCGUAGAUAUUAGAAAGAACACCGGUGGCGAAGGCACUCUACUGGGCUAUUACUGACACUCAGAGACGAAAGCUUGGGGAGCAAAUGGG